ACAAGCCAUGUGAUGACAAGAUAUGCCUCCCCAGCUUGUAGUCUUCUACUUUCUACAAUAUGGUUUGCAUCUCAUGAUUACGUACGAACACACCAUGUACGUUUUGAUUUAUUGAUUUUGAACUUGCUUUCUGAUCCGUAAGGUGGCCACGCCAAAAACCCAUCAAGAUCAAGGUAACUAUCAUAAGAAUGGAAAGUAUAGAAAUCAAAUAAUGCUAAAAAAUAAUGAACUAGAAAAA
Molecule: long non-coding RNA, 238 nt
Organism: Populus euphratica (Euphrates poplar)
Lineage: Eukaryota; Viridiplantae; Streptophyta; Magnoliopsida; Malpighiales; Salicaceae
Exons: 2
Source: RefSeq, a predicted model, not a curated record